RNAcentral lists this ribosomal RNA (254 nucleotides) under uncultured bacterium. RNAcentral describes it as "partial 16S ribosomal RNA". It matches the Rfam family "Bacterial small subunit ribosomal RNA", at positions 524 to 776 of the family's 1533-position model. The record is from RNAcentral.
UACGGGGGGAGCAGGCGUUGUUCGGAUUUACUGGGCGUAAAGGGCGCGUAGGCGGCCUCCGCAAGUCGACUGUGAAAUCUCCGGGCUUAACCCGGAACGGUCAGCCGAUACUGCGGGGCUAGAGUGCAGAAGGGGCAACUGGAAUUCUCGGUGUAGCGGUGAAAUGCGUAGAUAUCAAGAGGAACACCUGCGGCGAAGGCGGGUUGCUGGGCCGACACUGACGCUGAGGCGCGAAAGCCAGGGGAGCGAACGGG